GGAGCAAGGAGGGUCAUGGUUGUGUGAGGCUGCUUCGGCAGUCUCAGGGCAGCCCGUGGCCCUGGAGCUCCAGGAAAAGCAGCGUCUCCUUGAAGGAUGUUGUGCUAUAGUUCUGCAACUCUGUGAUGCUCCAGAAAGCUGAGAAUCUGAGAUUUACCUGUGCUGAUUCACAUGAUCUGUACUCAGUAUUUAUCAACGAAGACCUGCCAGUUGCCCCUUCAUCUGGAGGAAGCCCAAAGCAGUUAAAAGGAAAUGCUUCUCAGAGCCCUUUGAUAUCAAACAGAACAUUUAAAGGAGAUGUAUUCUGACAAAACUGAUGAAAGAGAAUGGAAUUCUGGGACAGUUAAUUUUUUGUUUUGAGGGCAGAGGUAAGGUUUUGUUCCAGUACAGUCUGACCUCUGUGUAAUGCACCUCUUCCCAGUAACGGUGUGGGGGGCCUUGGUCCAAAGAAGAGUUAGAUCAUGUGUUUGAACCCAUUUGUUUUCAUCACCAUUGUCCAUUUUUCUAGCUAUAAACAUAGAGGUGGUAAGGAGGAAAAGGGAGUUAUGGGGUUAGUUUUGAGAUAAUUUACU
Hirundo rustica (Barn swallow) is the source of this 572-nucleotide long non-coding RNA. RefSeq lists it as uncharacterized. The transcript has 3 exons. The record is from RefSeq and is a predicted model, not a curated record. NCBI's taxonomy places the organism in Eukaryota, Metazoa, Chordata, Aves, Passeriformes, Hirundinidae.